Molecule: small RNA, 1235 nt
Filed under: Candidatus Phytoplasma citri
Lineage: Bacteria; Bacillati; Mycoplasmatota; Mollicutes; Acholeplasmatales; Acholeplasmataceae
Description: bacterial SSU rRNA
Rfam family: Bacterial small subunit ribosomal RNA
Source: RNAcentral
CUUUUUAAAAAGGCCCUUAGUGGAUUAGGGUUAACUUUUUAGGAGGGGGCUUUGCGCCCAUUUUUAGUUUAGUUGGGUAGGGGUAAAUGGCCUUACCCAAGACCGAUGAAUGUGUAACUUGGACUUGAGAAGGUUGAACCAGCCCCCAUUGGGGAAUUGAGACCACGGCCCCAAACUCCUUACGGGGAGGCAAGCAAGUAGGGGAAUUUUUCGGCCAAUUGGAGGGAAACUCUUGACCCGAGCAAACGCCCGCGUGAAACGACGAAAGUACUUUUGGUAUGUAAAAGUUCUUUUUAUCAAAGGAAGAAAAAGCAAAGUGGUGAACCCAUUUUUUUUCCCGGUACUUGAUGAAUAAGCCCCCGGCUAAUUUAUGUGCCCGCAGCCCGCGGUAAGACAUAAGGGGGCAAGUGUUAUCCGGAAUUAUUGGGGCGUAAAGGGUGCGUAGGCGGUCUAGUAAGUCAGUGGUGUAAUGGCAACGCUCAACGUUGUCCGGCUAUUGAAACUUGCUAAACUUGAGUUAGAUAGAGGCGAGUGGAAUUCCAUGUGUAGCGGUAAAAUGCGUAAAUAUAUGGAGGAACACCAGAGGCGUAGGCGGCUCGUUUGGUCUUAACUGACGCUGAGGCACGAAAGCGUGGGGAGCAAACAGGAUUAGAUACCCUGGUAGUACUCCCCGUAAACGAUGAGUACUAAGUGUCGGGUUAAACCGGUACUGAAGUUAACACAUUAAGUACUCCGCCUGAGUAGUACGUACGCAAGUAUGAAACUUAAAGGAAUUGACGGGACUCCGCACAAGCGGUGGAUCAUGUUGUUUAAUUCGAAGAUACCCGAAAAACCUUACCAGGUCUUGACAUGUUUUUGCGAAACGGUAGUAAUAUCGUGGAGGUUAUCAGAAACACAGGUGGUGCAUGGUCGUCGUCAGCUCGUGUCUUGUGAUGUUAGGUUAAGUCAUAAAACGAGCGAAACCCUUAUCGUUACUUGCCAGCACGUUAUGGUGGGGACUUUAACGAGACUGCCAGUGAUAAAUUGGAGGAAGGUGAGGAUCACGUCAAAUCAGCAUGCUCCUUAUGUCCUGGGCUACAAACGUGAUACAAUGGUUGUUACAAAGGGUAGCUGAAACGCAAGUUGUUGGCCAUUCCCCAAAAACAGUUUCAGUCCGGAUUGAAGUCUGCAAUUGGACUUCAUGAAGUUGAAUCGUUAGUAUCGCGAAUCAGCAUUUGCGGGAAUUUGUGUUUCCC